GUUACUCUUAAAAAGAUGUCAGCAGUUAGACAGGUGGAUGCCAAUUAAUUUAAUUCGGUAUUAUAACACGUCAGAAAGGUCAUCUGUCGGAAGAGAGGAGGAAAAUUUCUAAGUAAAUUGUACAUCCCGUUUCAAAACUGCCAUUACAUUUCCCAUUCGUUCUCUAUAUAAAUACUCAUCUAAUGCUAGAAAUGUAACUCUAGGCCCGGUGCUUUUCAUAUCUAGGAAGCACUAUGAGAGCAUUAACAAUCUUUGGAGUUAUCUUCGCCUGUUUGCUUCUGUUUAGAACUGCCGUGGCAGAUCACGAUGGUGACGAUCAUAAUGAAGAAUUAGAAGAGGAGAAUGUCAAGCAGGAAAAAAGAUUUUGGGUCCCUAUAGCAACAUGGGCCGCAGGACAAGCUGCAAAAUAUGGAUAUGGCAAAUGGAAAAAGCACAAAGGCCAUCAUAAAGGCUGAAAACAAAGUUAAUGAUGGCUAGAAACCAAUAUGUGACUGUGAAAAGUUUUCUAAAGUUUAUAUAACUAAAAAAAUAAUAAUGAUAAUU
Molecule: long non-coding RNA, 543 nt
Filed under: Androctonus crassicauda
Lineage: Eukaryota; Metazoa; Arthropoda; Arachnida; Scorpiones; Buthidae
Source: RNAcentral